UGUAAUGCAGACGUACAGGGAGAAAUCUCCACAGUCAUCCUGUGCUUGUAUCAGGUAGGAAGAAUAAAAAGAAGAUGAGAAAAUUGCUCUCUGUGCUGACAAACUCCUUCUUCCCCACGAGUGUGGAAAGGAAGGAGAUGAAGGGCUUCCAACAGGAGGGAAAAUUAGAGGCAGUGAGAUCAGAGAUCAGGGUGAAAAGCUGCCUGUGAAGGCUAAUUCGAUAUAUUUUUGUCCACCUGUUAAACUUGAUAGAGAGU
This 257-nucleotide long non-coding RNA is filed under the name Homo sapiens (human). Its description in RNAcentral is "HSALNT0096964". The record is from RNAcentral. Lineage: Eukaryota; Metazoa; Chordata; Mammalia; Primates; Hominidae.